CAACGGCCGCGGUACUCUGACCGUGCAAAGGUAGCAUAAUCAUUUGCCCUAUAAUUAAGGGCUAGUAUGAACGGUCUAACAAGAAUGGAACUGUCUCUUUUAAAAUCCUUAGAAUUUGGUCUUUAGGUGAAGAAACCUAAAUUAUAUUGAUAGACAAGAAGACCCUAUCGAGCUUUAAAACAAUUAGUUAAACAAAUAGAUACCACUAACUUUAACUAAAAAUUUUGGUUGGGGCGACUAAGGAACAAACAAAGCUUCCUUAAUAAAUUCUACACUAAUAAGUAAUGAUCCAAAAUAUUUGAUUAAUAAAAUUAGUUACCGUAGGGAUAACAGCAUAAUCUUCUUCAAGAGUUCUUAUCGAAAAGAAUGUUUGUGACCUCGAUGUUGGACUAGGGUAUCCAAAAGAUGCAGAAGUCUUUAAAGGUUGGUCUGUUCGACCAAUAAAAUCCUACGUGAU
Molecule: ribosomal RNA, 457 nt
Filed under: Bithynia goniomphalos
Lineage: Eukaryota; Metazoa; Mollusca; Gastropoda; Littorinimorpha; Bithyniidae
Description: partial large subunit ribosomal RNA
Rfam family: Bacterial large subunit ribosomal RNA
Source: RNAcentral